Molecule: small nuclear RNA, 106 nt
Organism: Trichechus manatus latirostris (Florida manatee)
Lineage: Eukaryota; Metazoa; Chordata; Mammalia; Sirenia; Trichechidae
Source: RefSeq, a predicted model, not a curated record
GUGCUUGCUUUGGCAGCACAUAUCUAAAACUGGAAUGGUACAGAGAAGAUUAGUAUGGCCCCCAUGUGAGGAUGACAGAAAGGCAAGUAAUAAACAUUCUAAGUUG